AAAAAAUACUGAUGGAAAGAAUGACUUGAUUGAUAGAAUAUAGAUAAGACAAAUAGAUAUAUGUUUCCGAGAAAACAGAGAAAAAAAAACCCAUUCAUCGUGAAAUCAAUACAAAUUGAACUUAAGAUACACAAUUAAGCAAAGACACACUAAUUUAUUCACAAAACAAUGCAAACAAUUUAACAAUUCUUUAUUAACAGA
Molecule: long non-coding RNA, 201 nt
Filed under: Mytilus galloprovincialis (Mediterranean mussel)
Lineage: Eukaryota; Metazoa; Mollusca; Bivalvia; Mytilida; Mytilidae
Source: RNAcentral